RNAcentral lists this long non-coding RNA (13977 nucleotides) under Eucalyptus grandis. RNAcentral describes it as "long non-coding RNA (EGRA_LNC005547)". The record is from RNAcentral. Lineage: Eukaryota; Viridiplantae; Streptophyta; Magnoliopsida; Myrtales; Myrtaceae.
GGAAUCACUGAGCAUUGGAAUGGAUAUAGACACUAAAGUGUCCAUUUUUCCAUAUUGAGAUCCUUAUAAAAUUUUAACUAUUUUUCAUAUGUUAGUGGAUGUCAUCACUAAAGAAAUGUGCACAGUAAAGAACUCAAAGUCAUAAAGAUGAUAUUACCAUAAUAAAGUUGCCCCUUAAUUGAAUGAAAUAGUGAGUCAAUAGGUAAAAAGGGUAUUUUUAGGCAAUCACUAGUUCGAUUGACACCCACCAAUAAUAUGUGCAACAAGAAGAUUGACAUUGAACAAACCAAGUUUCAAAACUCUGGACCAGCUUAUUGUAAGAAAUCCAUUUGGAAUAAUACAUCCACUCAGGACCCGUAAAAAUGCACCAACCAGAACAGACAAUAUAUUAUCAAAACACUCAUAAAUUAUGGAAGUAUUAACCUGUCACAAACCAAACCACCCAGACAACAUACAUGAAACAUGGCAUCAACCUGCAUAGCCAGCAUAUACAAACCAAACGCAGUCAAUUUAACAUCUAGAAGCAGCACUCAUAGCCAAGAAAUCAACAUGCAUUGAACAUGUAUCUACAGCACUUAUGACCAAGAAAUUACGAUAUGGCGAGCACGUACUGCAGGUAUAGCCCUUAAUCCAGCAUGUUCAGUAGGCAAAGGAAAUGAUACCGGAAGCAUGUACAAUUGUUCCAGGCCUCUAGGUGAAAUACCAUGGUACCCACUAAAAAGAAGCCAAUCGAGAAUGUAGCCCCACUUACAUGGGCCUUGCUCCUAAAAAAUAAACUUUGUCAAGUUGCACAGACUUAAAGACACCCUUCCGUAUACUCAACCAGAAUGUCACAAUUUCUUAAACAUGCACAAAUUACUUAUGAACUUCAUUUAGAUGAGAAGCGAGAACCUGGAAGAUGAGGGGGCUUUGGUGGUCAUUACUAUUUGAUCUGAAUCUUAUCAAAAAUCGACCACAUCUAACUCAAGGUAAUUAAACCACUGGGGGUUCGCUCCAGUGGCCACCCUUCCAACAUGGAAGGGGGAGGUGAGGGGUUCAAAUCCCCACCUCCUCAGGGGGGGAUGGGGGUAGGGACGCGUAAGUUUCGCGAGUGGGUUGCGACUCCCACGCCCUGCAAGAGGCAGGGCACAAGUCUGCAAGUGAGUGUAGAGUAGGAUUAGAGUAGGACUGACCAAAAAAAAAAAAAAAAAACUCAAGGUAAUUGAUAACGAGUCGUGGCAUUCAAUAACAAAGAAGAGCAACUCUGUUUCACUCAACUUGACAAACAACUCCAGGCUACUGAUUGAAACAAGAAAGGUCUCUGUGGCAAUGAAGUAAAAGGCGGGAGCAACAAGGUACUCUGAACAGGAAACAUUAACAGAUGGGAAUAUGAGUACGAAAACAGAACAUGAAGCAAAAUCGCACAUGAUCAUGCGUAAAAGGAGACGUUUGACUUGGCUUAUUUGUUGGAAUCCGAAUGCUCUAACUGAGAUGAGCGCAUUCCUACAGUUCCUGGCUAAGCAUAAUUGAAUUUCGCAAGGCAACACUACUGAUCCUUGUCUUGGAUAAUUUCACUGAAUACCUUCUGUGCGUCGUCUAACACAUGGCACCUCCCAUACCUUGACACCACCGCAUUGAACUCAAACUAGUACUCUCGAGCCAAUUAGCACCAGCAACCUUAUGGACCGAAGAAACAGUGAAUCUCGUUUGCGGCUAUGAAAAAUGAAUUCGAAAUUCGACACGCGAGUUUAAUCGGUAAAGAAACGAUUUGAUGAGUGUGAUAAUUGAUGGACAAAUUCCAUCAUCGUUGGAACGUCCUAAGGAGCUGGCCAUCUACGAAGAUUUCUCGACUCUUCUCUCUCUCUCCCCGUAUAACACGAAGUGCAUACCACGGCGAUUCAAAUGGAGCCGAAGUUGAUUGCCGAACUCAGCGACGUGAGCCUCUUCGUAAUUCGACGCCAACAGCCGACGGAACACUCAGUCGUGGGCCUCAAGCUUCUUUCUCCGAUCUCGAAGAAGCAUAUGCACCGAUGAAUCCACCGGCCUACUCGCGCAACUCUCGAUGUUGCUUUCCACACAGCAACCGGAGGUGAUUCAGUUCGAGGUAAGGUCUGACCGUCGGAGAACCUGACGGCGGGUAGGCGGAGACAUUUGAACACUCGAAUAGACGGAAUCCAGGGGAUCCAGGUUGGAGCUCCGUGCGUCUUCCGUGAUCGGAAAUGGAAGACUGGCGGUAGCUAAGCUAGAGAGGAAGUGAGAGGCACGCGACGCCCAGAAGAAUACAGAACUUCGUCAUUUUUUGGGUUUCCCUUUUGGGCAGGAGAUCCGUGGAAUGAUGGAAGGCAAAGGGUGGCUUUUACAUUUCUCUCGUGAAAUGACCAAAACGCCCUGCCCUAAAGGGAAAUGUUUAUUGGUUUGUCCAACUAGCAUAUAUUUCGGCGGAUCAAAUUCACUUGAUUUGUUGUAUUAAUUGAAGCCGAAUGUUCGUUAUGAAGUUGUUGAUGUCUGCACGCACCGAAUGUUUGAUGUUUUGUAUGAAUGAAAUAUGCUUUAGUCAUCUUAGACUCGCUUAUGCUCAAUCCCUAGUCACUAUGGCAUGUUCAAACACCAUUUUAAAGAGUGAAAUUUGGAUCGUGGUCAUUGGAAUGCUUGGUGGCUGGCAUCUACUAAGCACAACGUUGAUGUGUUUCGGUGUCAUAGGAGGAAGACAUUGGUUUAUCCAUGAUAACACAUUAAUUUAUUGCUCUUUGCUCACAUUUUUAGCGUGUUUCAGUCUCAUGUCUAUGUUGAAUAGCUUGGAAUUCAUAUCAAUUUAUCAUUGGAUGAUUGCAUUUUCAUGGCUUUAAUAUGUGGAACAUGAUCUGAAAUCUUGCUGAUGGUGAUUGUUUCUUUACCAAUUCGCAUGUGUUGGGAAUCCAACAGCAGAUGACUAUAGUUGGAUAUCAGUUGAUGAAAAUACUAAUAUUUCACUAUCUCAAGAAAGUUAGAGAAGAUUAAUUACCAUUUACUCCAUCACUGCCUCUACUUGACAUGGAAAUAACACCUCGUUGUCUGCAAAACGCCAACAAAUCAGCAUGCUACUCUGCUAGACACAAACUAACUCAAAUGAUCCAAAUAUAAUGUUCUUUGGAAUUGGAGAGCUUGCAAAAUCACAGUAGUAGCAGAUAUGAUGAUGAGCAACGCCAAACAAUAUAAAGAGGAAUAACAAAUUGAACGAAACAAGCCAGAGCAAGCCAGGAAAGAAAGCUAAAAGUGUCACGAUUAACAUGCCCCGCCUUACCCAUACAAGCUAUAAUUAUUGGCUGUCAUACGUUCAAUUAUGUAAAUAAAAAUGAUGGGUUUAUAAAAUAUUAGUUGAGCAUAGGGUCAUGAGAGGACUCAAUUUUGAUUUUCAAAUGCAACACUUGCUAUUUUCACAAUAUCUUCGAUUUAUUAAAUUAUUAUUAUUAUUAUUAUUAUUAUUAUUAUUAUUAUUAUUAUUAUUAUUAUUAUUAUUAUUAUUAUUAUUUAUGCUGAGGAUCCAGUCUAGCUUAUCUUACGGGAGCACAGCACCAAUUAUACCUCGAGAGAAACUAGCCCAACAACCUACCAGCCGGAGCCCGCUUAAGUCACAGAACUGCUCUAAGAAUUGUAGCGAACUCUAGGAGUCGAACCUCCUCACCUGAUGGUCAGGAGGCCAGGCCUCAACCAGCGCAGCCAUGUUGAGAUUGGUGUAAUUAUUGUUUUUCUUUCUAAAUUUUGGGUCAAAGGUUGGAAUCUCCUCAGGCACACCACUUGAUCAUCAAUCUCAUCUUUGAGGGAAAUUAUUAGUUAAGGCGAUACAUUUUAUUCUCAGAUAAACCCAAUUCCACCAUUAUUGCACUAAUGCGAGCUAAAUCCAUUUUAGGUAGGUAAGAUUCGAACUCUAAUUAAUUAUACCUUUUUUUUUUUAUAAAGGCCAAAUUAGAAACAUGUCUUGGAGAAUCCAUGAGAGUAGCUAAUAGGUUUAAGGUAUAGUGGUUAAGCACAUGUAGAAUCCAAGGCACGCUAUAAUUAAUUUUACUUGAUUAUAUAGAAAUAUGUUUCUUUUAAAUCACCAUCGUUAACUUGUGAGAUUCACAUAUGGAACCCACAUGGAAUUCAUAAAAUUAAUAAUCAUGAUUCAACCUAUCGAAGGAAUCGGAUCGAGGAAGUAAUUGGUGAAGGAGAGGAGGAAGUCCUCUAAAAUCCUAAGCCCAUUACCUUUCCCCAAUUGUUUGAACUUCGUCUCCAAAUGGAAGCUUCUCNNNNNNNNNNNNNNNNNNNNNNNNNNNNNNNNNNNNNNNNNNNNNNNNNNNNNNNNNNNNNNNNNNNNNNNNNNNNNNNNNNNNNNNNNNNNNNNNNNNNAAAAAAAAAGGCGAGGUUUAGAGGUCCCUUUUUGGCCUAGUAUAUAGGCAAACAUUUCUUUUUCGUUUUUGAUAAGUCAUCUUUUUUUUUUUCCAUAGUCUUAUUUUCACAUGAUAAAGAACGCUUAAAAUCUCUCUCAAUAUCAUCAGGAAAAUUUAGAUUCACUACCUAGCUUAAAUAAUUAAUAGAAGUUAAAAAAAGUCUGAAAGAUUCAUGAGUAUUGCCAUAUUGAACUCGAAAGUCGUAGCUCAUGCGGUCUGAGUUUGACCACCAUCACAUAUUCUUUCCACCAAAAUUUUACCACUCCUAAAGCACCCAUCAUAUAAUUUUCACUAUAUAAGAAAUCAAGAACGCGGCUUGUAGUAGCCAUAGACUGCAUAGAGGGCCUGUAGGAAAGUAAGCACAAGCAAAACGACAGCAGCCAUAAAGGAAAUGAUUGACUAGGGAUUGUCGAAGUACUUGUUCUCGAGAAUGGCUCUCCAAGCAUUCCAUUUUUGCGCAAUACUGGCUCUCCAGGAUAUACGUAAAGAAAUGUAUUUCCAUCUGCAGUCACCAUGAAAGACACAUUACGGAGAUAACUGUCUUCGCUAUCGAAGGCCACCUCUUGGCAAAGCAGGUUGAAGAGGUCAGCGACCUCGGCGUUGCUCCCAAGGCAGUGUUUGAUGAUCCCGCGCUUGCAGAGGUACUGAACAUCCUCGGAGGAGUUGAUCAAGUUGUGCAUGAACAUUACGUACGAGGUGAUGUGCUCCCUGCAAUCGAAGUGAGAUUGCUUGAAGGCUAUCAAGUUGAGAAAGAUCAACCUCGUCCCUUCUUGGAUCUUAAUGGAGGGGAUCUCGAGAAUCCCGUUCCCAGGCUGGAAUUGGAUGUCCCCCAAAAUUUCCAUGUUUCCCCUCACGAACUUGAUCCCGGCUUCCACGAGCUUGGUCAGGCGGGGAAUGAGGUUGUCCCGGUUUUGCCGCCACCCCUUGGUCCUCACUCGCUUUGGGCCAGCUCGCCUCAGGCUCGAGGGCAGGAAGCUCUGCCAGAGCACUUCGAGGCAAUGGAGCCCGCACUGGUCGCGUGACGGGUCAAACUCCACUCGUUCUCUGCCAAUAGGAUCGAAGAACUCGAGCACCAGCUUGCCCACGUGCCCCUCUUGAUCGGGGUUGCCCAACUGGAGACCGAGCAGCCGGGCAAGUAUGAAGAGCGGGACCUAAUUCUCGAGCAAAAUCAUGUCACGCUGGAUCUGGAUCUUGAGCAUUGAUCCCCACUUUGAGAAGACAGGGUCAUUGCUUGGGUAGCCCAGUUUCUCGAACCCCUUGGCAACUCCCUGUAAUAGCUCGAUCACAAAGCACCCAUCCAGAACCAUCAUAUGCACGAAGCUACCGCUGCUCAUGGAUAUCUUUCCAUCGUAGCAGGAGCGAGCUCUUUGCUCGACCAUCUUCACGGAGUCUAUAUAGAGGCCUAUCUCGUGAUGGGAGCGCUCGAGGAUGCGGCAGAGGCAAUGCCACUUGUGCUGGUCCAUAUGGCGGAGGUGGUCCUUGCCGUGGUGAUACGGCUCGAGAGAGACGAUUUGGGGGACAUAGGCCUUCUUGUUGCCAUCCUUGAGAUAGUCUGGGAUUCGGUAAAUGGAGAGCUUUGCCCAUGAGCCCUCCACGUUGUCUUGGUGAUGUUGCUCGAGCUGCUCUUUCAUAGAGAUUGCACACUCGGACGAGGACACUCUCGGCUCAUCUUUGGGUACAUUUUCGGCCCCGUUGUUGUCGGCCACGAUCCGGAGAGCCUCGGAUGGUUCUUGCUGUACCUUCGGGAGUCCAGAUUCCACAGCAGCCAUUUCUUGUGAAUAAUUGGGUCUAUGUUUCUUGGUCUUUGCCUUCCUUGGGUUUUGAUCUUUGAAUUGAUGCUUUCUAAAGCCCCUGAAGAAAACAUUAAAAAAAGAAUUAGAAAAAGAAAAAGAAGCAGAAUUAGCACUUUAUAAUAUUAGCCCUUAAGAAAUCACGUGGAUUUCGUCAUCAUAUUGCUAGUGUAAAAGCCUGAUAAACAACAUUGCCCCACCUUACCCAUGAAGGUACAAUUGUUGGACUGACCUUUCAUAUUUCCAAUAGGAAACGGACACCGCGUGCUCACCGUGAAGCGCAUGUACGUAUAGUCCCCCCAUUUAGGUCGCGCAGAAUGGUUGGGCUUGUAUUUUGCCCCAUUUAUCCUUUUAAUUAGAUUUUCAUAAAUCAACUGAUGGCAAAAUUAGUUAGUCAAAUAGGGUAUCAUUUUGCAUGUAAGAAUCGGUGAUAAUGCCUCACUCCCCUUAAAAAUAGCAUUAAAGGAAUAGCAUAGUAUUAGAUAUCACUAUGCCCAUCUAUCCUCUCUUUUACAAGCUAUCAAGUGAGUUUCAAUUUCUUUGUAUUCUUUCUCUUUCACCCGAAUGUUGUGUGUACUCAACGCGGUUCCUUUCAAGUAUAUAGAGAACGGGUUGAACUGAAUAGAGGAUGAAUAUGCAUGAUGCAACUUAUUAACACCUAAAUUUUUGGAAACCCAUUUAGUCAGUUAUUACAUAAAAUUAGGGAUUAAUUAAAAAAAAAUUAAGUUGCAUGUUUAAUUAUGUGGUAAUUUUAAAUUUCGAAUUUUAUAAAAAAACAUAAAAAUUAUCAUAUAGAAUUAGGGCAUUAUUUGCACAUCAUUUCAUGUUAUGAUUGCAUAUUAUAGGUUUAGAUAAUUUUUGUUAGAUAAGAUUGCAUGCUUUUGUUAGGAAAAUAAGUUCAUGGAAUGCACAUCAUUUAGUGAUUAUUGCUAGGUCCAUUUAAUCAUAAAUUGAUCGUCAUUAGAAUUAAGUCAUUAGGUUAAUUUAGAUUACACAUUUAAUUAUUACAUUUCUUUAAAAAUCAUUUUACUCACAUCAUAUAGUUUAGGUCACAUUGUCAUGCCAUAUCAUUUCAUGUUAGAUUAGUAGCAUUGCAUUGCAUAUAGAUUAUAUUCUCAUUAAAUAAAGUGAAAACAAAAAUUGAAUGAUUACGUGUUAAUUAUAAAUCAUAUCUAGGAUUGUUGACGUGAAUUCUGAUCUAACAAUGUAGAUGCUUUCGUUGCCUAUGAGGUAAGUCCUACAUUUUUUUUUUUUUAAUUUGCUUUCUUGAGUAUUAAAUUGGUAGUUUGCACACUCGUGUGAUCACCUUACAUGUUAUAAAAGUGAAUUAAAAUUAAUUCAAGCUGCUUGCAAAACAUUUUUUUUUCGAAAUAAAAAUAAAAAUGUACCGAAAUGGCAUUAGAAAAGUCUAAUGUAACCAAGUUCCUGUACCCAAAGUCUCUAGUUCGCAAAAGUAAAAUAAUUCUUCCAUUAUUUUACUAAUUAUUUUAGUUAUGUGUCUAAUCGACCUACUGUAAACUGAUUAAUGGCGACUCCCUUUUGCAUGUUAAAUAUUUGAAAUUAAGUCGCGAAUUGAAAUGGGCUUGGGAGAGCUCGAGGGUCCGUUAACCUAAUUUUAGGUGGUGAAUCCGAAGUUUAGGUCACGAUAGCGUGGCGACUUUGCUGGGAUUUGAGUUAAUACUCUUAGUGAACUUAGGCCAAUGUUCUCUUUUAUUUGAAAAAAUAUUUUUGUUUUGCAAGAUGAGAGGUAUAAUGGGAAGUGUUUGCUAACCUCUGUUUUGUAGAAAUGUGUAGGAAUGUAUGGUUUAUUUUCAUGCUGAAAUGUUGCUUGAUAUAAACUGUUGUGCAUGCCCACAUUUACACUACACUCUUGCACACACAACCCGCCGCUGGACUUGGGCCACAUAGUAUUAUCUAGGAUGAUAUUGAGAUGGAUACCACUUUAACCGCAUGCCUGCAAUACAAGUUACCCAUUUCGAUUCCAAAACUUCUUUUUUUGUGUCAAGAAUACCUACCUCGGUCCGCAUGCUCACAACCUAGGUCGGCUCUUUGACCAAGCCGAAGUCAUGAGGACUCGACAUAGUCUGCACGCCCAUGGCUAGUAUGAUCAUCCUUGUGGCUUCACUUUGCUAAGCCUAUCUAGAGUAAAAAUCGAGCCUCACAUCUCAUGUGCAUGUAUGUCGCGAUCUAAAUUUCGGGUGCACUACCUAAGUUUAAGCUAAUGGACUACUAAGUCUUUAAACUUAGCUCAGACUCUCCCAAAUCCAUACCAAUUCACGGCUUAAGGUUUAAGUAUUUAGCAUGCAAAAGAUUAUUAGCUAGGAGCCACCACUAAUUGGUUCAGUGUAAGUUGAUUAGACACCUAAGUAAAAUAAUGAAAUAAUUAUUUUACUGCUACGAACUAGAGACUAGGGGCAUGGGGACUUGAUUACAUUAGAUUUCUCUAAUGUCUUUUCGGUACCAUUUCUUUUUAAUUUUCAAAAAUGUGUUUUUGUAGGCAACUUAGAUUUACUUUAACCUAAAUUACUAUCAUGCAAUGGGGCGAUCACACAGAUGCUCAAUCGUUAAAACAUUGAAUAAAAUAAAUUGCACCAAAUGAAUUCAACACACUAAAGCAAGUAAUUAUUUUUUUUGAAUUUUUCUUUUAAUUAGAACCUUAUCAUAAAACAUGCAUUUAACUACAUGACCUAACUUUACUAACAAACUAUUUCUAAUUAAAUGAACCUAGCAUGAAAACUAAUUGACAUGCACCUAAUAUUUUUGUGUUUUUUUUUUAAUUUGAAAUUCGGAAUUAAUAAAAACCCUAAUUAAACUAUCUAAAAUAAAUAAUUUUCUAACUUAUUUUAGGGGUUAAUUUGACUUAAAUCCUAUCCUAUCUUAAAAAACUAUUUUUUUUAGAAAAAUGAGGUUAUUUAAAUGUGCAAACAUUAUCUAAAAUCAAUCCUAAUCUAUUCCAAAAAUCUUAUAAAAAUGCAAUCCUAAAAAUGCAACCCUAAUUUACUAACACACUCCAAUGCAAGAUUUGAUUUUUAUUUUUGUUUUUAUGUUUUUUAGUGUUUUUCCAAGAUAAACAAUAUGAAAUUAAAUCUAAACUAAUCAAGAUAUCCAUUAAAUAAAUGAUUAGAAUAAUCGAAAAAAUAACCUAUUAUCUCACAGGUCAAAUUACAGAUUACUUUAACCCUAAACAUCACAACAAAAAUUCAAAAUAAUUAAAAAUCCGAUCUGAAGUCUUACGAACCAAAUUAAUAAUUAUAAUGAUUUAACAAUUAAAAUAUUAUCAAAAUGCCCAAAAAUUAAAAUAAUUAAAAAAAUGAUUCGACGUCUUACGAAUCAAAUUAAUAAUUACAAUAAUUUUGGGCAAAACCUAAUGCCUACAAUAUUCAUAAAAUGAACCUCGAGAUCAAAUGUUCCAAUUUAAAUAACUAAACCUAAUAAAAUAAAUGAAAAAUAAAAAUAAAAUAAACUACCUAAAUUGAUUUACUGUUGAUGAAUCGAUAUGUUGCCUUUUUUCUUAUUGGGGCAUGCUUUGCGGACAAGUUUUCAGCUUGAGGACCUUGACUCCCGAUGGAAGUUAGUCUUUGAUAGUUCCUUGUACGAUAAAAAGCAUAGUUUUUUUUUUUUUUUUUGGGGUCAAAAAAACGCCGCAUAGUUCAUUAGGUGCUUUCUGCGGGUGCAGCCAAUAGAACAAUUAAUCUUCCAUGGACAAGAACGCGGGGUCCUCUUUGCCAGAAGAUAUCCUCGACCGGUUGUUUGCUGAGUCUAAAACCACAAGUCUAGCGGAUGCCUUAGAAGUUCUUGCGAAAAUAUCAAGAAAUAUUUAAGGACACUUAAAAUAUUUAAAUUCUGAAAUUCUGGUACCAUCACUGAAGCUUCUGAGGAACCUAUGUGCUUAGAGAAGUCGUAAAUCAGAAUACUUUCAUUGAGAAGAAUGGAGUUGGAAUCACUUUGACCAUCUUGAGGGCUCCGAUGCGCGCCCUUGCCUUAGAUUGCAAAGCCGUCAGGAUAGCCUUGCACGCUCUAGCAAAUGUCUCAUUGGCUAGAACAAACUAUUUGGGUUCAGUUCUUUUCGAAUGAAUUUCUCAUGCGUGCAAGAAUUUGGAGCCAAGACAUAGUCGAUCCUUUGUGUAUGAUACUAUAUACUUGUCAAGAUGGGAAUCUUGUACGUGUGGCAGAGCCAUGCGAAGAUCCUGGUUUGUCUUUGGCAUCGGAAAUUGCUUGGACUACUUCGAUAGGUACGUUCCAUUUUCGCUUGCUUCUCUUUAGGUCACUUUCUCAAGUUCUUUUCCUCCCACUUUGAUUGAACCUAAUUGCAUUCCUGUCUUCAUCACAUAAUGUCAUAUUCUCUUGUUUGACUGUUGGAUUUCAAGAAGAAUGGUUUAAUAUGCUUCUCUCAGUCAUUUGCUUAGAAGAAGCACAUUUACUUACUUUAUUUGCCGAACUAGCUGUUGCUCCCACUGAUGACAGCAAUGAUGUACAGUUGGGUUGUGAUGAGUUUUCACUCGAUCAAAUGUUUCUCAUUAGCACCUGUGGGAGAAUAAAUGUCGUCACUAUCUCUAAUGAGUUUACAUUAUACAUUCUCGGAGUAUUCAGAAAAGCUAGCGGGCUUGUUGAUUUUUCCGAGGAGGCCAAGUUAAGUCUUCCUACAGGUCCUCUCAUAUCAAUGUCCUUGGUUACACACUCACCACGCUGAGAGAUAAUUUGCGCACAGUAUGGGGCAUGAGGACCCAUGGGAAAUGCACAAGAUGCAAGAGGCGCACUUCUCUUGCUUGGGUCUUUUGAAUUCGCUUCCUAAUUAUCAUAAAAGCCCUUAAUCAGGGUCAGCACCAAGGCAGUGCAGAUUCGUAACAACUGAAACAGUACCCUUACGAGGGGUUACGCAGAGACAUUAUUGCAGUUAUCGGCAAUUGUUUGUACUGGGGGAGGAGCAUGCAAGAUAAGUUCAGAUGCAAUAAUGGGAUUACUUUGCUUAUGCAGCAGUGCGUUGCAGAUGAAGAUAACCCAUUCUUGAGAGAAGGGGGUAUUUGGACAAUCAGAAACUUGUUCGAGAGAAAUACCGGAAACCAACAAGCAGUUGCUGAAUUGGAGCUCUGGGGAACUGUUAAUACACCGGAGAUUGCAGAGCUGGUCUUCGAGUGGAGUUGGAUCAGAAGACUGGAAGACCAAAGCCGUAAAUUUUGCAUAAAAAUUGUCAAAUGUCUAUUAAUCCGCUUGAUAAGCAUACCCUUUUCUAUAGUUUCUUAAAAUAUUCCAUCAUGUGUUUUUUCUGAUGUCUUAAUCAACGGAAAUAUUGUCCAUGGCAUCCUGGUGGCAAUUUUGGCCCCUAGAUAUUGAGGAAAAAGCGAGAAUAAAGAAAUUUUGAUGAAUUAGCAUGUUCUUAUGAUGUUUGUUUUAAUUUUCGAGACUACAAGCGGUGACAAUAUUGAGUUCUUCUCAUUUUCCUUGUCUGUGAUAAAAAUUUACUCUUAUUGAAAUAAAGGACCUUCAAAUCUUGGAGAAGUACGCACACCAGUGUUUUGAAGAAAAAAGGGUACGCCUAAGGAAGUGUCGGAAAAGUGUACACCAACUAAUUCAAACUUCCCGGCCAGAAACAGGGCAGAAAAGAGGAGUUUUGGCGCCGUGGUAGGAGCGGUGGAGAUCGGCAGCCACGGCAGAUUUCUGGCGAUUGAGAACGACGGAGAAGACCUGUGACAGAGAAAUCAGUAAUAAUGUUUUAUCAGCUCUCGGCUCCCCGCAAAAUCAUGCUCUGUUUUCAAGUACACGUGUAAUUAAAAUCCAGAGAAUCGUAAGACACGUGCAAUUAAAAUCGAAGUACAAUUUUUUGGUGAAAAAUUCGGGGGCAGACAACAAUUCGUGGUUAAUCGUAGAUUGACAACAUUAUUUUUCAGAAUCACUCGUCCGACUAAGCACUCAACGGUCACAAAGCCCUAAUGUUUCCUAUUUUGAAACUCCCGCAUCUCACUGAUGAUCCACUCAGAAUUCUCAGUCUUCAAGUAUUUCCUAAUAUUUCCUAAUUUGGAUUCGCACUAGCUUUCUUCUUCCCCUCCCUCUCACCCCUUCUUCGUCACGCUCUCUCUCUCUCUCUCUCUCUCUCUCUCUCUCUCUCUCUCCCUCUCCCUCUCUCUCUGUGGCAAAACCCACGAUCAUCGUCUCUUCGUCUGUUCAUCCCUUCAUCACUUGGCGAUAAUGGGGUAUCAAAGUUUUCCGGCAGCGACGGUCUACUUUCGGUCUGCAAACCGUCUUUCAAAGGGGGAGAGAAAGAUGAAGCUCGAUUUCUCAUCUCUCAAUCUCUUGGCAGACGUAGCUUCUUUCAUCUCCGAGGGAAAGCUAAGUCUCGGGCCUUCCAUCUUUGAUCGCGAUGGUGAGAAGAAGGUCACCCUCGUGACCACCACCACUUUUGGGCCAAUCGGUGUCGGAUGGAUCGUUCGGAAGAAGAGAUCCCCGCGAGCGCGAAGGCCGACAUUCCACGCCCAGACGUCAAGUUCUGACCCAUUUGUCGUUGUCCAAAACAACAAGCAGGAGCCUUCGAGAGCUGUCGCUGAGAACCACAAGAAGAGGUCGCGUACAUUUGAUUCAUCCGAAACCCAAGAAGAAUGGGGAAGAGUUUCCAAGAAACCCAAGAAAACUCCCAAGACGGGUCUCGCGGCUCUAAUCGGACCAAGCAAAUUGCCGACGAAGUACAUAGACAAAAUUCAGGAGAUGCAAGGUCGGGAUAUGACGCUCGUGUUGGAGAAGACUCUUACUGCCACGGACAUGAGCCGAGGCCAAAGUAGGCUCUCUAUACCCAACAAGCAGAUAAGGCAAGGUUUCCUGAGCGAAGAAGAGAUCCGAAUCCUAGAUAGGAAGGAAGGCAUUAAGGUUUCCCUCAUUGAGCCGUGCCUCAAAGUUUCUCAUGGAUUACAACUGAAGAGGUGGAAUUACAAGAGCAGAAUUUUUUCUUACGUGUUGACGGAGAGGUGGAAUGGAGUCGCGCAUCCUUAUGCGCGGAAUGAACUCAUGAAGGAUGUUCUCAUUCAGCUGUGGUCCUUCAGGGUGGAUGGCAGCCUUUGGUUUUGCCUCAAGAAAGUUGAAGACCAUCAAGGCAAUGGAUACGAUGGCUGUGAUCUUCCUCAUAUUUCGUGAAGAAGUAAUUCCUGAUAUUUCUCUACGUUCACCCUGGUACAUAACUAGUUAGCUUCACUUUUCUUAUACUUUUUUUUUAAAUUUCAAUGUUUAGGUAAUUUCAUUCUUUCCUAUUAUUUCGGGACCACUAUUGGCGUCUCGAUGAAGUUAGAAGUGAUAGGAGCUGAGGCAGUCCUCAUAGAUCAGCUAUGGUCGACCAUGAUUUUUUGAUGAAGUUUUUUGUUGUUCUCGAGUUUUUCUUUUUUUGUAUUUUUGGUUGCGGUUGGCAUUUUAUACAUUCAAAUGAGAAGUGUAUAUAGUGCUAUGGAAUCACUGAGCAUUGGAAUGGAUAUAGACACUAAAGUGUCCAUUUUUCCAUAUUGAGAUCCUUAUAAAAUUUUAACUAAUUUUCAUAUGUUAGUGGAUGUCAUCACUAAAGAAAUGUGCACGGUAAAGAACUCAAAGUCAUAAAGAUGAUAUUACCAUAAUAAAGUUGCCUCUUAAUUGAACGAAAUAGUGAGCCAAUAGGUAAAAAGGUAUUUUUAGGCAAUCACUAGUUCGAUUGACACCCACCAAUAAUAUGCGCAACAAGAAGAUUGACAUUGAACAAACCAAGUUUCAAAACUCUAGACCGGCUUAUUGAAAGAAAUCCAUUUGGAAUAAUACAUCCACUCAUCAAUGGACCCGUAAAAAUGCACCAACCA